AAACCAACAGGGAUUGCCCCAGUAGCGGCGAGUGAAGCGGCAAGAAGCUCAGAUUUGAAAUCGUGUUUCGGCACGAGUUGUAGAGUGUAGGCGGGAGUCUCUGUGGAGCGCGGUGUCCAAGUCCCUUGGAACAGGGUGCCUGAGAGGGUGAGAGCCCCGUAGGGUGCUGCGCGAAGCUUUUGAGGCCCUGCUGACGAGUCGAGUUGUUUGGGAAUGCAGCUCCAAGCGGGUGGUAAAUUCCAUCUAAGGCUAAAUAUUGGCGAGAGACCGAUAGCGAACAAGUACUGUGAAGGAAAGAUGAAAAGCACUUUGAAAAGAGAGUGAAACAGCACGUGAAAUUGUUGAAAGGGAAGGGUAUUGGGCUCGACAUGGGGGGUGCGCACCGCUGUCUCUUGUAGGCGGCGCUCUGGGCGCCCUCUGGGCCAGCAUCGGUUCCUGCUGCGGGAGAAGGGGCUCCGGAAAGUGGCUCUUCGGAGUGUUAUAGCCGGGGCCAGAUGCCGCGUGUGGGGACCGAGGACUGCGGCUUCUGUCUCGGAUGCUGGCAUAACGGCGCAAUACCGC
This 561-nucleotide ribosomal RNA is filed under the name Pichia manshurica. RNAcentral describes it as "eukaryotic LSU rRNA". It matches the Rfam family "Eukaryotic large subunit ribosomal RNA", at positions 62 to 648 of the family's 3401-position model. Lineage: Eukaryota; Fungi; Ascomycota; Pichiomycetes; Pichiales; Pichiaceae. The record is from RNAcentral.